This 141-nucleotide ribosomal RNA is filed under the name Parastrellus hesperus (Western pipistrelle). Its description in RNAcentral is "partial 16S ribosomal RNA". The record is from RNAcentral. Lineage: Eukaryota; Metazoa; Chordata; Mammalia; Chiroptera; Vespertilionidae.
AACUAAAUAUAGCCCAAAAAUACACCCACACAACUAAUUUAAUACUAUUAAAAUAAAACAUUUAUUAUAAGUCAAAGUAUAGGUGAUAGAAAUGAUACAUGGCGCUAUAGAGAUAGUACCGUAAGGGAAAAAAUGAAAGAA